UACAGAGGUCCCGAGCGUUGUUCGGAUUUACUGGGCGUAAAGGGCGCGUAGGCGGCCAGUGCAAGUCAGUUGUGAAAUCUCCGAGCUUAACUCGGAAAGGUCAACUGAUACUGCUCGGCUAGAGUGCGGAAGGGGCAACUGGAAUUCUUGGUGUAGCGGUGAAAUGCGUAGAUAUCAAGAGGAACACCUGCGGCGAAGGCGGGUUGCUGGGCCGACACUGACGCUGAUGCGCGAAAGCUAGGGGAGCGAACGGG
Molecule: ribosomal RNA, 254 nt
Filed under: uncultured bacterium
Lineage: Bacteria
Description: partial 16S ribosomal RNA
Rfam family: Bacterial small subunit ribosomal RNA
Source: RNAcentral